Long non-coding RNA from Cucurbita maxima (winter squash), 194 nucleotides. RefSeq lists it as uncharacterized. The record is from RefSeq and is a predicted model, not a curated record. NCBI's taxonomy places the organism in Eukaryota, Viridiplantae, Streptophyta, Magnoliopsida, Cucurbitales, Cucurbitaceae. The transcript has 4 exons.
UAGAACGGGAUUUAAUUUAGAGAAAUCAGUAUUUUUGGACACCUCACGGGCAAAAAAACGCUAGUGAAAAGGCACGCGUCAACCAGGUGCCGGUCGAGGUGGAGGAGCGUUCAAGAGCUGUGCGGUCAUAGAGGGGGUCAUUCUGGAGCGUCAGCCCCUUUUCGGUCUUUUGGAGUCUUUUACAAAUUCCUUUU